This 484-nucleotide ribosomal RNA is filed under the name uncultured bacterium. Its description in RNAcentral is "partial 16S ribosomal RNA". It matches the Rfam family "Bacterial small subunit ribosomal RNA", at positions 29 to 507 of the family's 1533-position model. The record is from RNAcentral.
AAUGAACGCUGGCGGCAUGCCUAACACAUGCAAGUCGAGCGGAUGAAGGGAGCUUGCUCCUGGAUUCAGCGGCGGACGGGUGAGUAAUGCCUAGGAAUCUGCCUUGUAGUGGGGGAUAACGUCCGGAAACGGGCGCUAAUCCCGCAUCCGACCUGAUGGAGAAAGUGGGGGAUCUUCGGACCUAACGGUUACAGAUGAGCCUACGUCGGAUUAGCUAGUUGGUGGGGUAAAGGCCUACAAAGGCGACGAUCCGUAACUGGUGUGAAAGGAUGACCAGCCAAACUGGAACGGGGACACGGUCCGGCAUACUAGGGGAGGCAGACGGGGGGAAUAUUGGAGGAUGGGAGAAGGCGUGAACAAGCGACGCCGCGUGAGUGAAGAAGGUCUCCGGAUUGUAAAGGUCUUUAAGUUGGGAGGAAGGUAAGUCAGUUAAACCCGUGAUGUUUUGACGUUACCAACAGAAAAAGGCCCGGCUAACUUCGUG